AACGAACGCUGGCGGCAGGCCUAACACAUGCAAGUCGAACGUGAAGCCACCUUCGGGUGGUGGAAAGUGGCAGACGGGUGAGUAACACGUGGGAACGUACCCUUCGGUUCGGAAUAACCCAGGGUAACUUGGGCUAAUACCGGAUACGUCCGAAAGGAGAAAGAUUUAUCGCCGAAGGAUCGGCCCGCGUCGGAUUAGCUAGUUGGUGAGGUAACGGCUCACCAAGGCGACGAUCCGUAGCUGGUCUGAGAGGAUGAUCAGCCACACUGGGACUGAGACACGGCCCAGACUCCUACGGGAGGCAGCAGUGGGGAAUAUUGGACAAUGGGCGCAAGCCUGAUCCAGCCAUGCCGCGUGAGUGAUGAAGGCCUUAGGGUUGUAAAGCUCUUUCGCCAGGGACGAUAAUGACGGUACCUGGAUAAGAAGCCCCGGCUAACUUCGUGCCAGCAGCCGCGGUAAUACGAAGGGGCUAGCGUUGUUCGGAAUCACUGGGCGUAAAGCGCAUGUAGGCGG
This 513-nucleotide ribosomal RNA is filed under the name uncultured bacterium. RNAcentral's name for it is "bacterial SSU rRNA". It matches the Rfam family "Bacterial small subunit ribosomal RNA", at positions 28 to 578 of the family's 1533-position model. The record is from RNAcentral.